This 497-nucleotide ribosomal RNA is filed under the name uncultured bacterium. Its description in RNAcentral is "partial 16S ribosomal RNA". It matches the Rfam family "Bacterial small subunit ribosomal RNA", at positions 28 to 507 of the family's 1533-position model. The record is from RNAcentral.
GAUGAACGCUGGCGGCGUGCCUAAUACAUGCAAGUCGAGCGAACAGACGAGGAGCUUGCUCCUCUGACGUUAGCGGCGGACGGGUGAGUAACACGUGGAUAACCUACCUAUAAGACUAGGAUAACUUCGGGAAACCGGAGCUAAUACCGGAUAAUAUAUUGAACCGCAUGGUUCAAUAGUGAAAGACGGUUUUGCUGUCACUUAUAGAUGGAUCCGCGCCGCAUUAGCUAGUUGGUAAGGUAACGGCUUACCAAGGCAACGAUGCGUAGCCGACCUGAGAGGGUGAUCGGCCACACUGGAACUGAGACACGGUCCAGACUCCUACGGGAGGCAGCAGUAGGGAAUCUUCCGCAAUGGGCGAAAGCCUGACGGAGCAACGCCACGUGAGUGAUGAAGGUCUUCGGAUCGUAAAACUCUGUUAUUAGGGAAGAACAAAUGUGUAAGUAACUAUGCACGUCUUGACGGUACCUAAUCAGAAAGCCACGGCUAACUACGUG